Molecule: ribosomal RNA, 307 nt
Filed under: uncultured bacterium
Lineage: Bacteria
Description: partial 16S ribosomal RNA
Rfam family: Bacterial small subunit ribosomal RNA
Source: RNAcentral
AGACAGCAGUCGCCACGGUAACACCGAGGGUGCGAGCGUUAAUCGGAUUUACUGGGCGUAAAGCGUGCGUAGGCGGCUAAUUGAGUCGGAUGUGAAAUCCCCGAGCUUAACUUGGGAAUUGCAUUCGAUACUGGUUAGCUAGAGUGUGGGAGAGGAUGGUAGAAUUCCAGGUGUAGCGGUGAAAUGCGUAGAGAUCUGGAGGAAUACCGAUGGCGAAGGCAGCCAUCUGGCCUAACACUGACGCUGAGGUACGAAAGCAUGGGGAGCAAACAGGAUUAGAUACCCCGGUAGUCCCUGUCUCUUAUAC